AGUCGGCUGGGGAGAAAGGGGUUUGGCACGGUGCAAAAAUGUCUCUCCUUUCUCCUCCUAG
Molecule: microRNA precursor, 61 nt
Filed under: Mus musculus (house mouse)
Lineage: Eukaryota; Metazoa; Chordata; Mammalia; Rodentia; Muridae
Description: microRNA mmu-mir-6975 precursor
Source: miRBase by way of RNAcentral